UAGAUUGAAUUAGUCCUUUAAAAAAUUAAGUGUUGUCUAAAAUAUAAAUACUGUCCAGAAUCAUGGUAUAAUUCCUUAGGAAAUCACUAUAAAUUGAACCUCCCCUGCUCUCCACUGCCUAAUAAUAUCUUGUUUUUCUCACAGAGCUGGUUUGAAUUCUGUGCCGCUUGCACCGCGUUGGCUUCAGCACUGCCACCUCUGCUUAAUGCCCAGGUUUGUGUCAAGGUGGUGGGGUCCUGGGUUUGCCAGGUCCCCAAAGCUGCCAGUUCCAUUGCUCGCAGCUUCCCCAAAUCAUUUCACGGCGCUGGCUGUGACCAUACCUUGAGGAGGGGAUGCUGAGUAAGCCCAACAAAUGCUGCCAGCAGUCACGUUGCCCAGAGGGUGAGGAAGAUUCUAGCUGUUUCCUUUUCCCAGCCAUGUUUUGCUGAAGAAACAAUUUUAAAGAGGAAAAAACAGCUUUCUGCGGGUUCCCAGGUAUUGAUGUGCCAUUCUCCCUGCACCUUUAUUAGCAACAACAUUGCCUGUGGCUGGCUAGCUGGUAAGGAUGGACAGUUCUGUAACAGCUGUGUGCACACUACCUUCCUUUGCAAAUAGUGCCUUUUCCCUGUCUGUCCCCAUGGCUCUGUUUAUUUGUAUGCAAGGCAACUGCGAUGUUUAUUGAGGCUUUCCAUCAGCUGUAUGAACUCACAGCAGAAUCAGCUGUGUGGAUGUCCGUUACUGUGAGAGUUGCAGUUGUUGGAUAAUAGGCUCCUGGGCAGCUCCUAUGAGAGACUUGGUCUUUCUUAAGUGUCUCUCUAGACAAAUUGCUGCCUGUGCGUAUGCAUAUAGUAUAAAAAAGAAAAAAAGAAGUGUUUUUUUGUUUUCCAACCUCCCUGUAGAAUGGGUCUAAAAACAGAACUAUCUUUCACUAUGGAAAAAAAAUGACAAAAAUAUCCUCAUAUUUGUAAACACUUUCUAGAUGUUUUUCAGGGUAUCUCUAGGACUUGCCAGGCUCCUCCCCUUUCCUUCCCUGCCUCACCCCAAAUACUUCCAUUUUUGGCUAAAAAAUCUUAAGUUUGGGAUUGUUUUUAACCAACAAUGUCAGCCAAAACCUAAGUCCUUUCUUCUAAUUUUUCCGCUUAAUUUUUAAAGUAUCUUUUGGCAAAACAAAAAUAUUGUUUUGAUGGAAAAUCUUCAACCAGCCCUGCUCAUUAGUUUCUGCCAACAGUCAUACAGGCAAAACAGAGCAUCUUCCAAGAGAGGAGACUGUCCGAAAGGGCUGAACACGAGGCAGGAGAUGACUAACGCUUCUCUCCCCAGCCAACAUCGUGCUCUUUUGCAGGCUGCAGACCUUAAUGAGACCCAUCUUUCUCGAGAUGUUUCCAGUCUAAAUUCCUCUUGGUGGGUCAGCUCAAUAAUUCAGGUAUUUUGCCAGGUUGAUGGAAGAUGGGGGUGGCACAGAAGGAUCACCAAGGGAUCGAAAGACUUGGAAGAGCUACAUUCUGCACCUCUUAUCCAUGUUGACUAAUAUUUGGGCUCCUCCAGGUGCUGUGUUUGAGAGCAUCAUCUCCUCCUGUCCAACUGUACCUUGUUUCUCUGGCCAUCUGGGACUUGGUCCUAUUCCCUUGACAUGUCCAUAAAGAGUAGCUGGUGCGAGCGAUUUUCUGCACUCCAAGAGGGAUGAAAUCAAAAGAGAAGGGCACAGGUCCUGGCAGAUUUGAUGGUCAAGCAUUGUCACCAGCAUGCACCCGCUCACCCACACACCAUGUUGAUAAUCUCCUCAUGAGCAACACCCAGAAACCAACUUCUGUCUGCCCUUUGUGGAGGAGACUGUGGUGAAACUCCCUUCCUGCGUCUGGGCCCCAGACCUAGAAAGUCUUCAGUGCAAGAUGCCACCACCUAACCCGUCAGCUCGUUCCUGAGGCUGCCAAGUUUCAGCCUUCAGACCUUUUGAGGGCAGACAACAGCAGGAGUAGCGCUCAUGCAUGGAGUUGCCCGUGGCUGAGUUUGGAACCUGCGGAGCUAGACAAGAGCUUCCAACAGGAGACACCAUUAAAAGAGGCAAGGUGUAACCCAAUGCUACCAAACAUGCACUCAGACUAACCUCCAUAGCUCAAUUAACUAUAUUAAGUGUACACCUAUAAUGAACUUAAUUUCACUGAGGUUUUCUUCCUGGCGUUGUGUGCCUAGUGUACCUAGUUUUUAAACUUGUUGCUGUGUUUGUAAUUCAAUCAUAUGUAUACAUAGUUCCCACAUCAGCUUAGUCACGCCAGGCACCAGGGAGAGUAUCAUUUUGUUGUAUUUGGCUCAUGGUUCUGCCUUUAACAUGGGGGGUAUCUUCAUUGAAAUCAGUUGUGCUACGUAAGUCCAAAACCAGAGCAAAGCCUAACAUUUGUAAAUUAUUUGCAGUAGAGGCUUUAUAAUUUUUAUAAUGCAAUGUCCUGAAUAUGAAUGCAGUUGGCUACAGCUGCAUUCCCCGUCUCCCAACAGGAAACACCAAAAUAAAGAUAGA
Molecule: long non-coding RNA, 2491 nt
Organism: Cygnus olor (mute swan)
Lineage: Eukaryota; Metazoa; Chordata; Aves; Anseriformes; Anatidae
Exons: 4
Source: RefSeq, a predicted model, not a curated record